RNAcentral lists this ribosomal RNA (466 nucleotides) under uncultured soil bacterium. Its description in RNAcentral is "bacterial SSU rRNA". It matches the Rfam family "Bacterial small subunit ribosomal RNA", at positions 8 to 495 of the family's 1533-position model. The record is from RNAcentral.
AGAGUUUGAUCCUGGCUCAGAAUCAACGCUGGCGGCGUGCGUAACACAUGCAAGUCGAACGAGAAAGUGGAGCAAUCCAUGAGUUCAGUGGCGACCGGGUGAGUAACACGUGAUUAACCUACCCUCGAGUGGGGGAUAACGCCGGGAAACCGGCAAUAAUACCGCAUAACAUCGCUUGGUGAAAUUCCUUGCGAUCAAAGGAGCAAUUCGCUUGAAGAGGGAGUCGCGUCUGAUUAGCUAGUUGGCAGGGUAAUGGCCUACCAAGGCGAUGAUCAGUAGCCGGCCUGAGAGGGCGCACGGCCACACUGGAACUGAAACACGGUCCAGACUCCUACGGGAGGCAGCAGUGGGGAAUUUUGCGCAAUGGGGGAAACCCUGACGCAGCAACGCCGCGUGGAGGAGGAAGUCCUUUGGGAUGUAAACUCCUUCGACCGGGAAGAUAAUGACGUACCGAGAAAGAGCCCCA